GUUCCUGUCCAACGUUAAUCGGGGCAGGGUGAGUCGACCCCUAAGGCGAGGCCGAAAGGCGUAGUCGAUGGGAAACAGGUUAAUAUUCCUGUACUUGGUGUUACUGCGAAGGGGGGACGGAGAAGGCUAUGUUGGCCGGGCGACGGUUGUCCCGGUUUAAGCGUGUAGGCUGGUUUUCCAGGCAAAUCCGGAAAAUCAAGGCUGAGGCGUGAUGACGAGGCACUACGGUGCUGAAGCAACAAAUGCCCUGCUUCCAGGAAAAGCCUCUAAGCAUCAGGUAACAUCAAAUCGUACCCCAAACCGACACAGGUGGUCAGGUAGAGAAUACCAAGGCGCUUGAGAGAACUCGGGUGAAGGAACUAGGCAAAAUGGUGCCGUAACUUCGGGAGAAGG
Molecule: ribosomal RNA, 393 nt
Filed under: Escherichia coli
Lineage: Bacteria; Pseudomonadati; Pseudomonadota; Gammaproteobacteria; Enterobacterales; Enterobacteriaceae
Description: partial 23S ribosomal RNA
Rfam family: Bacterial large subunit ribosomal RNA
Source: RNAcentral